This 407-nucleotide ribosomal RNA is filed under the name uncultured microorganism. Its description in RNAcentral is "bacterial SSU rRNA". It matches the Rfam family "Bacterial small subunit ribosomal RNA", at positions 509 to 917 of the family's 1533-position model. The record is from RNAcentral.
CAGCCGCCGCGGUAAUACGUAGGGGGCGAGCGUUACCCGGAUUCACUGGGCGUAAAGGGGGUGUAGGCGGCUCGGUAAGUCGGGUGUGAAAUCCCACGGCUCAACCGUGGAAUUGCGCCCGAAACUGCCGAGCUUGGGGCCGGUAGAGGGAGACGGAACUGCCGGUGUAGGGGUGAAAUCCGUAGAUAUCGGCAGGAACGCCGGUGGGGAAGCCGGUCUCCUGGGCCGCGCCCGACGCUGAGACCCGAAAGCUAGGGGAGCAAACCGGAUUAGAUACCCGGGUAGUCCUAGCCGUAAACGAUGCCCACUAGGUGUGGGGGAUUAAUUCCUCCGUGCUGUAGCUAACGCGUUAAGUGGGCCGCCUGGGGAGUACGCCCGCAAGGGUGAAACUUAAAGGAAUUGGCGGG